Molecule: small nuclear RNA, 168 nt
Organism: Arabidopsis lyrata subsp. lyrata
Lineage: Eukaryota; Viridiplantae; Streptophyta; Magnoliopsida; Brassicales; Brassicaceae
Rfam family: U1 spliceosomal RNA
About the family: U1 is a small nuclear RNA (snRNA) component of the spliceosome (involved in pre-mRNA splicing). Its 5' end forms complementary base pairs with the 5' splice junction, thus defining the 5' donor site of an intron.
Source: Rfam
AUACUUACCUGGUCGGGGUCAAUGGUUGAUCAAGAAGAACUGUGGCCUAAGAUAGUGACCUCCAUUGCACCUUAAGGAGGUGUGCUUAUAAGCUUGAGGUCUCUCCAAGUGAGAGAGCCUGCGUCAUUUAUUUGUUGCUGCGGUGACCUGCAUUCGCUCGGCCCCUCC